Jatropha curcas is the source of this 709-nucleotide non-coding RNA. Lineage: Eukaryota; Viridiplantae; Streptophyta; Magnoliopsida; Malpighiales; Euphorbiaceae. The record is from RefSeq and is a predicted model, not a curated record.
AUCCCAUCUCCAAGCACUAUGCUUCCUUUCUCUCUAUGCUUCCUUUCUCUCUGCUUCAAAACUUUCUUUAGUUCUCUCUCUCUCAAUUCAUAAGCGAAUCAAUAAUUUUAUCCUAAAUUUAAAAAAAUUCUAAGUUUUUCAAUUAAUUUAUUAUUCUUAACAGAGAUGAUGAAUCUGUCAGUAUGAGUGAUAGCCAAGAUAACCAGAGGCGGAGCAACCAUGGCAGACAAGUAACGGAGCUGAAACAGGUGCAAACAAAGGAACCCAAACAGAGUGGCCGUGUUCGGUUGGUGCUAUCAGAUGGGUCACAUUUACAAUAAGCCAUGAAAUGAUUUGGAGCUAAGAUUGUGAUGCAGUUGCCAAAGGAGAUGUUUAAGAAACCCAAAUUGAGGAAUAAUAUUUGAAGGUCUGAUACUGGCGAUAGUAGUGGUGAUUCGUAAAAACCAGCAUUCUCAAAGAGAAAUAUCGACAUCUACGGCUCAUGAAUAGAAAACAAGCAUCCAAAAAUGAAGGAUUUGACAUGUAGUUUUAUGUUUUUACGUUCACUUAAUGAAGGAAAGAGAGAAAAUUGGGUGGUGAAGUUAACAAGAAUUUAUGUUGUGGUAGAGUCCGCGUCAGACACUUCUUUUAUAAUGUUUGGUGGGUCUCAUAAUAGUCUUUUAUAACUAAAAUACAUAUUGUGGUAGAGUCCACAUCAGACACUUCUUUA